UAAAACCAGCACCUCAAGUGGUCAGGAGGAUUAUUGGGCCUAAAGCAUCCGUAGCCUGUUCUAUAAGUUUGCGGUUAAAUCUAUACGCUCAACGUAUAGGCUGCCGUAAAUACUGUAGAACUAGGGAGUGGGAGAGGUAGACGGUACUCGAUAGGAAGGGGUAAAAUCCUUUGAUCUAUUGAUGACCACCUGUGGCGAAGGCGGUCUACCAGAACACGUUCGACGGUGAGGGAUGAAAGCUGGGGGAGCAAACCGGAUUAGAUACCCGGGUAGUCCCAGCUGUAAACGAUGCAGACUCGAUGAUGCAAUGGCAUAGAGCUAUUGCAGUAUCGCAGGGAAGCCGUUAAGUCUGCCGCCUGGGAAGUACGUACGCAAGUAUG
Molecule: ribosomal RNA, 380 nt
Filed under: uncultured crenarchaeote
Lineage: Archaea; Thermoproteati; Thermoproteota
Also listed under: 1 other name
Description: bacterial SSU rRNA
Rfam family: Archaeal small subunit ribosomal RNA
Source: RNAcentral